GUUUAUUCUUGAAUAUGUACUAGAAUUCGAACAAUGCAGAGAAGAUUAUCAUGGCCCCUUCGCAAGGUUUACUCGUCAUUUCACGAAGAGUUCCAUUUUCUU
Non-coding RNA from Angiostrongylus cantonensis (rat lungworm), 102 nucleotides. The record is from Rfam. NCBI's taxonomy places the organism in Eukaryota, Metazoa, Nematoda, Chromadorea, Rhabditida, Metastrongylidae.